CACGUAGGGGGCAAGCGUUGUUCGGAAUUACUGGGCGUAAAGGGCAUGUAGGCGGUUUGAUAAGCCUGGCGUGAAAGUCUAUGGCUCAACCAUGGGAUUGCGCUGGGAACUGUCGAACUUGAAUUAUGGAGAGGGAGCUAGAAUUCCAGGUGUAGGGGUGAAAUCUGUAGAGAUCUGGAAGAAUACCGGUGGCGAAGGCGAGCUCCUGGCCAAUAAUUGACGCUGAGGUGCGAAAGUGUGGGGAUCAAACAGG
This 253-nucleotide ribosomal RNA is filed under the name uncultured bacterium. Its description in RNAcentral is "partial 16S ribosomal RNA". It matches the Rfam family "Bacterial small subunit ribosomal RNA", at positions 524 to 776 of the family's 1533-position model. The record is from RNAcentral.